Molecule: non-coding RNA, 159 nt
Filed under: Nomascus leucogenys (northern white-cheeked gibbon)
Lineage: Eukaryota; Metazoa; Chordata; Mammalia; Primates; Hylobatidae
Source: Rfam by way of RNAcentral
GCUGGGUAUGGUACUGUACACCUGUAGUCCCAGCUACUCGGGAGUCUGAGGUGGGAGGAUCACUUGAGCCCAGGAGGUUGAGGCUGCAGUGAGCUAUGAUCAUACCUGUGAAUGGCAAAUGCACUCUCUCCUGGGCAAUGUAGUGAGAUCUCAUCUCUU